RNAcentral lists this ribosomal RNA (468 nucleotides) under uncultured bacterium. RNAcentral's name for it is "partial 16S ribosomal RNA". It matches the Rfam family "Bacterial small subunit ribosomal RNA", at positions 28 to 507 of the family's 1533-position model. The record is from RNAcentral.
GACGAACGCUGGCGGCGUGCUUAACACAUGCAAGUCGAACGGAAAGGCCCUGCUUUUGCGGGGUGCUCGAGUGGCGAACGGGGGAGUAACACGCGAGUAACCUCCCCUUGACUUUGGGAUAACUUUAGGGAAAUGGGGCGAAUAUCGCAUAGGAGCUCCUGCAGCACGGGGGGCGAUGGAAAGUUUCGGCGGUUGGGGAUGGACUCGAGGCUUACGAGCUGGUUGGGGGGGUAGGGGCUUACCAAGGCUUUGACGGGUAGCCGGCCUGAGAGGGUGACCGGCCACAUUGGGACUGAGAGACGGCGCAGACGCCUACGGGAGGCAGCAGUGGGGAAUAUUGCGCAAUGGGCGGAAGCCUGAUGCAGCAACGCCGCGUGCGUGAUGACGGCCUUCGGGUUGUAAACCGCUUUCGCCUGUGACGAAGCGUGAGUGACGGUAAUGGGUAAGGAAGCACCAGCUAACUACGUG